Molecule: ribosomal RNA, 458 nt
Filed under: uncultured bacterium
Lineage: Bacteria
Description: partial 16S ribosomal RNA
Rfam family: Bacterial small subunit ribosomal RNA
Source: RNAcentral
CCUACGGGUGGCAGCAGUGAGGAAUAUUGGUCAAUGGGCGAGAGCCUGAACCAGCCAAGUCGCGUGAGGGAUUACUGCCCUAUGGGUUGUAAACCUCUUUUGUCGGGGAGCACAAGCCUGACGUGUCCCGCUUUGAGAGUACCCGAAGAAAAAGCAUCGGCUAACUCCGUGCCAGCAGCGGCGCUAAUACGGAGGAUGCGAGCGUUAUCCGGAUUUAUUGGGGUUAAAGGGUGCGCAGGCGGAUUUUUAAGUCAGCGGUAAAAUCGUGGGGCUCAACCCCAUCCAGCCGUGGAAACUGGGGAUCUAGAGUGUGCGAGAGGUAUUCGGAAUGCGUGGUGUAGCGGUGAAAUGCAUAGAUAUCACGCAGAACCCCGAUUGCGAAGGCAGCAUACCGGUGCACAACUGACGCUCAGGCACGAAAGCGUGGGUAUCGAACAGGAUUAGAUACCCUGGUAGUC